UCAGUCGCUUCUUGCUCUUUUCCGUCUCGUGUCCAUCGCCAUUUUUAAUUGACGUCCCAAUCAAAUAAAAAUUAGAUACACAAAACCGAAGUCUCUCUCUCAUUUGGCAAUGCCAAAUUGCCAAUGCCGAUGCCAAUCAACUAAAGGACAAUAAAAAUAGAGGUAAGAGAGACAAUUAAAACAUAUUAUUCAUGGCAACAGCUACUGCUACAACCACAACUACUGCUUCAACCACAACUAGAGCUCACCUUAAAGUUCAAACUCAGCCCACCAAGCCCAAACGCCGCAAGUGCCGUGAAACCACCAUUUCCUCCUCCGCUGCUGCCACAGCUAAUUCUAGUAGUUCUGACGCUGCUUCUGGUUCUGGGUAUUGUUCACAUAGCCAAAGCCGGAAACUUGACCAUCCAACCAUUGUUUCCGCUGAUAACUCCUGGAGCUGUCUUGCUUCCAAACCCACCUCUGCCCCACCUCCCCCACCACCAUCUCCGCCUCCACUACCCCGCCGUUUAACUGUGAAGGAAUCUGACCCCGUUCUUGAUUCGCCAUCAACCUUCAGGUUCCGCUUCUCUCCGGGAAGUCUAUCGCCAGUCAUGGACUUCACUCCCACCUCAGCUUCCACUAUUACCGCCACAACAACCCUAACAAAUGGCCACCACUCUCCUCAUGAACCUUCUUCUUUCCCUUCGAGUUUCACCAAAUUUAACUCUGCACUCACAGCUGGUCUUCUAAACCCGAUGUCGCCCCCGCCGGAUAAGCCCCGAUCCAGUCCGACGCUUUUCGAGAUGAUGGCGAGCGAGCCCGAAAUGCAACCCAGAACCCAGAUCCCGAUUAACAAUGCUAACAUCAAUGUUCGAAGCUCGCNNNNNGUCUGUUCAAGAUAAACAGACUUUAAUCAUGCAGCGAAUAGCUGACAUUUUGGGAAACAGGAGCCG
This 932-nucleotide unclassified non-coding RNA is filed under the name Hevea brasiliensis (rubber tree). The record is from RNAcentral. Lineage: Eukaryota; Viridiplantae; Streptophyta; Magnoliopsida; Malpighiales; Euphorbiaceae.